This 505-nucleotide ribosomal RNA is filed under the name uncultured bacterium. RNAcentral's name for it is "bacterial SSU rRNA". It matches the Rfam family "Bacterial small subunit ribosomal RNA", at positions 15 to 518 of the family's 1533-position model. The record is from RNAcentral.
GAUCCUGGCUCAGGAUGAACGCUGGCGGCGUGCCUAAUACAUGCAGGUCGAGCGAGGGGAUUCGUCCCCUAGCGGCGAACGGGUGAGUAACACGUAGGUAACCUGCCUUAGGACUGGGAUACCCGGACGAAAGUCCGGCUAAUACCGGAUAACAACGGAGAUCGCAUGAUUUCCGCUUGAAAGGUGCGUUUGCACCACCUUUAGAUGGACCUGCGGCACAUUAGCUAGUUGGUGAGAUAACAGCCCACCAAGGCGAGGAUGUGUAGCCGACCUGAGAGGGUGACCGGCCACAAUGGGACUGAGACACGGCCCAUACUCCUACGGGAGGCAGCAGUAGGGAGUUUUCGGCAAUGGGCGAGAGCCUGACCGAGCAACGCCGCGUGAGUGAUGAAGGUCUUCGGAUUGUAAAGCUCUGUCAGGAGGGACGAAAUCUGCGAUCAGGAAAUGGGUUGCAGUUGACGGUACCUCGUUAGGAAGUGACGGCUAACUACGUGCCAGCCGCCGC